AUGAACGCUGGCGGCGUGCCUAAUACAUGCAAGUCGAGCGAACAGACGAGGAGCUUGCUCCUCUGACGUUAGCGGCGGACGGGUGAGUAACACGUGGAUAACCUACCUAUAAGACUGGGAUAACUUCGGGAAACCGGAGCUAAUACCGGAUAAUAUAUUGAACCGCAUGGUUCAAUAGUGAAAGACGGUUUUGCUGUCACUUAUAGAUGGAUCCGCGCCGCAUUAGCUAGUUGGUAAGGUAACGGCUUACCAAGGCAACGAUGCGUAGCCGACCUGAGAGGGUGAUCGGCCACACUGGAACUGAGACACGGUCCAGACUCCUACGGGAGGCAGCAGUAGGGAAUCUUCCGCAAUGGGCGAAAGCCUGACGGAGCAACGCCGCGUGAGUGAUGAAGGUCUUCGGAUCGUAAAACUCUGUUAUUAGGGUAGAACAAAUGUGUAAGUAACUAUGCACGUCUUGACGGUACCUAAUCAGAAAGCCACGGCUAACUACGUG
RNAcentral lists this ribosomal RNA (496 nucleotides) under uncultured bacterium. RNAcentral describes it as "partial 16S ribosomal RNA". It matches the Rfam family "Bacterial small subunit ribosomal RNA", at positions 29 to 507 of the family's 1533-position model. The record is from RNAcentral.